This 76-nucleotide transfer RNA is filed under the name Chloroflexota bacterium. Its description in RNAcentral is "Chloroflexi bacterium tRNA-Lys". It matches the Rfam family "tRNA". Rfam says of the family: Transfer RNA (tRNA) molecules are approximately 80 nucleotides in length. Their secondary structure includes four short double-helical elements and three loops (D, anti-codon, and T loops). Lineage: Bacteria; Bacillati; Chloroflexota. RNAcentral also lists the same sequence under 1 other name. The record is from RNAcentral.
GGCCCGCUAGCUCAACUGGCAGAGCAGCUGACUCUUAAUCAGCAGGUUCUCGGUUCGACCCCGAGGCGGGUCACCA